CCAUGGAGGCUGAAGCUGCAGGCUCCCCGGCCUGGGCAGAGGCUGCAGUGACAGAUUUGCACGCUGUGGCUGCUGCCAUGGCUGCUCAGUGCCCCCCGUAGAGCCCAGGGCCCGCAGGCCCAUCCUCCCCUCAUCUAACAGAGACCGAACAUCAGAGGCACAGCUCGGUGGGGAGAAAAGGGGGAGAAGCUUUAAACAUUGCCAGGUCAGCACAACAGGAGACAGAUACAAGUUCAUUGAGAUGAGGCCAGCCCUAAGCUCCUGAGGACAGUCUGAGGUAUUCCCCAGUAAAGAACAAAUACCAAUGAGCAAGCUCACGGGAAACACCAUAUUUUGUGGGCAGUCGCAUGUCCUGAAGGAAAGGGGACCCAGAAGUGUUGUGAACUGCCAUGCCUGGAGUAAGAGGAAGUUUAGCUCCAUAUUAAAGGUUUCUACACUUUGCUCUUUCCUAAAUUAAAAGCAGUGAUGACCUUAA
Long non-coding RNA from Passer domesticus (house sparrow), 475 nucleotides. RefSeq lists it as uncharacterized. Lineage: Eukaryota; Metazoa; Chordata; Aves; Passeriformes; Passeridae. The record is from RefSeq and is a predicted model, not a curated record. The transcript is spliced from 3 exons.